This 790-nucleotide ribosomal RNA is filed under the name Salmonella enterica subsp. enterica serovar Typhimurium. RNAcentral's name for it is "bacterial SSU rRNA". It matches the Rfam family "Bacterial small subunit ribosomal RNA", at positions 10 to 788 of the family's 1533-position model. Lineage: Bacteria; Pseudomonadati; Pseudomonadota; Gammaproteobacteria; Enterobacterales; Enterobacteriaceae. The record is from RNAcentral.
AGUUUGAUCAUGGCUCAGAUUGAACGCUGGCGGCAGGCCUAACACAUGCAAGUCGAACGGUAACAGGAAGCAGCUUGCUGCUUCGCUGACGAGUGGCGGACGGGUGAGUAAUGUCUGGGAAACUGCCUGAUGGAGGGGGAUAACUACUGGAAACGGUGGCUAAUACCGCAUAACGUCGCAAGACCAAAGAGGGGGACCUUCGGGCCUCUUGCCAUCAGAUGUGCCCAGAUGGGAUUAGCUAGUUGGUGAGGUAACGGCUCACCAAGGCGACGAUCCCUAGCUGGUCUGAGAGGAUGACCAGCCACACUGGAACUGAGACACGGUCCAGACUCCUACGGGAGGCAGCAGUGGGGAAUAUUGCACAAUGGGCGCAAGCCUGAUGCAGCCAUGCCGCGUGUAUGAAGAAGGCCUUCGGGUUGUAAAGUACUUUCAGCGGGGAGGAAGGUGUUGUGGUUAAUAACCGCAGCAAUUGACGUUACCCGCAGAAGAAGCACCGGCUAACUCCGUGCCAGCAGCCGCGGUAAUACGGAGGGUGCAAGCGUUAAUCGGAAUUACUGGGCGUAAAGCGCACGCAGGCGGUCUGUCAAGUCGGAUGUGAAAUCCCCGGGCUCAACCUGGGAACUGCAUUCGAAACUGGCAGGCUUGAGUCUUGUAGAGGGGGGGUAGAAUUCCAGGUGUAGCGGUGAAAUGCGUAGAGAUCUGGAGGAAUACCGGUGGCGAAGGCGGCCCCCUGGACAAAGACUGACGCUCAGGUGCGAAAGCGUGGGGAGCAAACAGGAUUAGAUACCCU